UGGCAACGGGGGGCAGCAGUGGGGAAUAUUGGGCAAUGGGCGCAAGCCUGACCCAGCAACGCCGCGUGAAGGAAGAAGGCUUUCGGGUUGUAAACUUCUUUUGUCAGGGACGAAGCAAGUGACGGUACCUGACGAAUAAGCCACGGCUAACUACGUGCCAGCAGCCGCGGUAAUACGUAGGGGGCAAGCGUUAUCCGGAAUUACUGGGUGUAAAGGGAGCGUAGACGGCUGUGCAAGUCUGGAGUGAAAGGCGGGGGCCCAACCCCC
This 267-nucleotide ribosomal RNA is filed under the name uncultured bacterium. RNAcentral's name for it is "partial 16S ribosomal RNA". It matches the Rfam family "Bacterial small subunit ribosomal RNA", at positions 335 to 617 of the family's 1533-position model. The record is from RNAcentral.